GGGAUUGCCUUAGUAACUGCGAGUGAAGCGGCAAAAGCUCAAAUUUGAAAUGAGGCCCGUUGAUUGUCUGAUUAAUCAGCUCUCGACCCCUCAGUUGUAAUUUAGAGGAUUGCCAUGGUGAUAGCGCCCAUACGAAGUUCUUUGGAACAAGACACCAAUGAGGGUGAUAGUCCCGUCAGAUGAAAAAUGGUGCGCUACGGUGUCCGAUAUGGCAUAUCCGACGAGUCGAGUUGUUUGGGAAUGCAGCUCAAAAUGGGUGGUAAAUUUCAUCUAAAGCUAAAUACAGGCUGGAGACCGAUAGCGAACAAGUAGAGUGAUCGAAAGAUGAAAAGCACUUUGAAAAGAGAGUUAAAUAGUACGUGAAAUUGUUGAAAGGGAAGCGCUUGAGACCAGAUUCGGCUGGCGGUGUUCAUCCAUGCAAAUUUCUGCAUGGUGUAUGUGCCGUUGGUUGAGCCAGCAUCGGUUCUAAUGGCGGGAUAAAGGUUCGAGGAAUGUGGCUCCAAAAUUAUGCGGAGUGUUAUAGCCUUGAGUGCAAUGUCGCCUAUUGGAAUCGAGGACCGCGCUUCGGCUAGGAUGUUGGCUAAAAGGUCUUAAGCGGCCCGUCUUGAAACACGGACCAAGGAGUCUAACAUCUAUGCGAGUGUUUUGGCGUGAAACCAUUGCGCGUAAUGAAAGUGAACGAGGUGGGAACCCCAAGUUGGGGUGCACCAUCGACCGAUCCUGAAGUUUACGGAAGGAUUUGAGUAGAAGCAUAGCUGUUGGGACCCGAAAGAUGGUGAACUAUGCCUGAAUAGGGUGAAGCCAGAGGAAACUCUGGUGGAGGCUCGCAGCGGUUCUGACGUGCAAAUCGAUCGUCAAAUUUGGGUAUAGGGG
This 873-nucleotide ribosomal RNA is filed under the name Otidea propinquata. RNAcentral's name for it is "eukaryotic LSU rRNA". It matches the Rfam family "Eukaryotic large subunit ribosomal RNA", at positions 71 to 923 of the family's 3401-position model. Lineage: Eukaryota; Fungi; Ascomycota; Pezizomycetes; Pezizales; Pyronemataceae. The record is from RNAcentral.